RNAcentral lists this transfer RNA (58 nucleotides) under Dipodomys ordii (Ord's kangaroo rat). It matches the Rfam family "tRNA", at positions 8 to 63 of the family's 71-position model. From Rfam's summary of the family: Transfer RNA (tRNA) molecules are approximately 80 nucleotides in length. Their secondary structure includes four short double-helical elements and three loops (D, anti-codon, and T loops). Lineage: Eukaryota; Metazoa; Chordata; Mammalia; Rodentia; Heteromyidae. The record is from Rfam by way of RNAcentral.
UGGCUCAGUGGUAGAGCGCUUGCCUUGCAUGCAUGAAGUCCUGGGUUCGAUUCCUCAG